This is a small nuclear RNA of Gracilinanus agilis (Agile Gracile Mouse Opossum), 104 nucleotides long. The record is from RefSeq and is a predicted model, not a curated record. NCBI's taxonomy places the organism in Eukaryota, Metazoa, Chordata, Mammalia, Didelphimorphia, Didelphidae.
GUGCUCACUUCAGCAGUACAUAUACCAAAAUUGGACUGAUACAGAGAUUGGCAUGAUUUCUAUGCUAAGAUGACAUGCACAUUUGUGAAGGAUUACUUAUUUUU